GACGAACGCUGGCGGUGUGCUUCACACAUGCAAGUCGAACGAGGUAGCAAUACCUAGUGGCGGACGGGUGAGUAACGCGUGGGAAUCUGCCUUUAGAUGGGGGAUAACGGGUCGAAAGACUCGCUAAUACCGCAUAUGACGAAAGUUGAAAGGAGUAAUCCGUCUAAAGGAUGAGCCCGCGUCCGAUUAGCUAGUUGGUAGAGUAAAAGCCUACCAAGGCGACGAUCGGUAGCUGGUCUGAGAGGAUGAUCAGCCACAAUGGGAACUAGAGACACGGCCCAUACUCCUACGGAGGCAGCAGUGGGAAUUUUACGCAAUGGGCGAAAGCCUGACGUAGCGACACCGCGUGAGCGAAGAAGCCCCUUGGGGUGUAAAAGCUCUGUCAGCUGGAACGAAAAAAAUGACGGUACCAGCAGAGAAGCAUCGGCUAACUACGUGCCAGCAGCCGCGGUAA
Molecule: ribosomal RNA, 454 nt
Filed under: uncultured bacterium
Lineage: Bacteria
Description: bacterial SSU rRNA
Rfam family: Bacterial small subunit ribosomal RNA
Source: RNAcentral